This 462-nucleotide long non-coding RNA is filed under the name Homo sapiens (human). Its description in RNAcentral is "non-protein coding lnc-HEATR4-1:13". Lineage: Eukaryota; Metazoa; Chordata; Mammalia; Primates; Hominidae. The record is from RNAcentral.
ACUUAGCAACGGGCUGCAAGAAGAGACGACUUCGGAGGGCCCAGGGUCCUUUGAGCUCCUAGAGGUCCCGUGUGGAACCAUCUGGAAGAGAUUUUUUACCAUUGAGAUGUUUAUGGAAGAAAGUUUGAAUUUGCUGCCAGGCAUCUACCUGUGCCUUUGAGUGAGCCUUUGGCUCACCUCCAUAGAAUAUUGCCUCACCCAAAACAGCGUGCACAGAAGCUCUAGAAGGAGGAAAAUAAGGUGGGUCAAUACAGUGACCAGUUUCUGGGUAACAGAUUAUCUGGGGUCUUUCUUUCCCAUGAGCUUGUAGCCUUUCAGAGGCUAUCUGAGCAUAGAAUUCACUCUUCCAGCUUUGAUCAUCCAUGCCAACAAUAAACAAGAAGGGCACCUGCGCCUUUUCCAAUGGAACAAGACUUUGGUGAUUGUGUUCCUCCAGUGGAUUGCUCCAAGUGUCCAUAAAAG